UUGCUUUGCAUAUGAUAUCUUGCAGUAAUUUAGUAAUACCUUUCGAACACAUGAUUUUCAGUCAUUCAUGAGUUCGUCAGGUAUUAUCUAGUUAUUGUAAACAUUCAACUCGCUGGCGGA
Molecule: microRNA precursor, 120 nt
Filed under: Drosophila simulans
Lineage: Eukaryota; Metazoa; Arthropoda; Insecta; Diptera; Drosophilidae
Description: microRNA dsi-mir-983a precursor
Gene: dsi-mir-983a
Rfam family: mir-983 microRNA precursor family (bases 16-104)
Source: miRBase by way of RNAcentral